CCUACGGGUGGCAGCAGUGAGGAAUAUUGGUCAAUGGGCGGGAGCCUGAACCAGCCAAGUCGCGUGAGGGAAGACGGUCCUAUGGAUUGUAAACCUCUUUUGUCGGGGAGCAAAAGACGCCACUCGUGGCGUUCCGAGAGUACCCGAAGAAAAAGCAUCGGCUAACUCCGUGCCAGCAGCCGCGGUAAUACGGAGGAUUCGAGCGUUAUCCGGAUUUUUUGGGUGUAAGGGGUGCGCAGGGGGAAUAUCAAGGCGGCGGUAAAAUUGAGGGGCUCACCCUCUUCGAGCCGUUGAAACUGGUUUUCGUGAGUGAGUGAGAAGUAUGCGGAAUGCGGGGUGUAGCGGUGAAAUGCAUAGAUAUCACGCAGAACUCCGAUGGCGAAGGCAGCAUACCGGCGCUCAACUGACGCUCAUGCACGAAAGUGUGGGUAUCGAACAGGAUUAGAUACCCCGGUAGUC
Molecule: ribosomal RNA, 459 nt
Filed under: uncultured bacterium
Lineage: Bacteria
Description: partial 16S ribosomal RNA
Rfam family: Bacterial small subunit ribosomal RNA
Source: RNAcentral